This 496-nucleotide ribosomal RNA is filed under the name uncultured bacterium. Its description in RNAcentral is "partial 16S ribosomal RNA". It matches the Rfam family "Bacterial small subunit ribosomal RNA", at positions 28 to 506 of the family's 1533-position model. The record is from RNAcentral.
GAUGAACGCUGGCGGCGUGCCUAAUACAUGCAAGUCGAGCGAACAGACGAGGAGCUUGCUCCUCUGACGUUAGCGGCGGACGGGUGAGUAACACGUGGAUAACCUACCUAUAAGAUUGGGAUAACUUCGGGAAACCGGAGCUAAUACCGGAUAAUAUAUUGAACCGCAUGGUUCAAUAGUGAAAGACGGUUUUGCUGUCACUUAUAGAUGGAUCCGCGCCGCAUUAGCUAGUUGGUAAGGUAACGGCUUACCAAGGCAACGAUGCGUAGCCGACCUGAGAGGGUGAUCGGCCACACUGGAACUGAGACACGGUCCAGACUCCUACGGGAGGCAGCAGUAGGGAAUCUUCCGCAAUGGGCGAAAGCCUGACGGAGCAACGCCGCGUGAGUGAUGAAGGUCUUCGGAUCGUAAAACUCCGUUAUUAGGGAAGAACAAAUGUGUAAGUAACGAUGCACGUCUUGACGGUACCUAAUCAGAAAGCCACGGCUAACUACGU